This 603-nucleotide ribosomal RNA is filed under the name uncultured fungus. Its description in RNAcentral is "eukaryotic LSU rRNA". It matches the Rfam family "Eukaryotic large subunit ribosomal RNA", at positions 23 to 641 of the family's 3401-position model. The record is from RNAcentral. Lineage: Eukaryota; Fungi.
ACCCGCUGAACUUAAGCAUAUCAAUAAGCGGAGGAAAAGAAACCAACAGGGAUUGCCCUAGUAACGGCGAGUGAAGCGGCAACAGCUCAAAUUUGAAAUCUGGCGUCUUUGGCGUCCGAGUUGUAAUUUGCAGAGGGCGCUUUGGCAUUGGCAGCGGUCCAAGUUCCUUGGAACAGGACGUCACAGAGGGUGAGAAUCCCGUACGUGGUCGCUAGCCUUUACCGUGUAAAGCCCCUUCGACGAGUCGAGUUGUUUGGGAAUGCAGCUCUAAAUGGGAGGUAAAUUUCUUCUAAAGCUAAAUACUGGCCAGAGACCGAUAGCGCACAAGUAGAGUGAUCGAAAGAUGAAAAGCACUUUGGAAAGAGAGUUAUAAAGCACGUGAAAUUGUUGAAAGGGAAGCGCUUGCAGCCAGACUUGCCUGUAGUUGCUCAUCCGGGUUUUUACCCGGUGCACUCUUCUAUAGGCAGGCCAGCAUCAGUUUGGGCGGUUGGAUAAAGGUCUCUGUCAUGUACCUCUCUUCGGGGAGAACUUAUAGGGGAGACGACAUGCAACCAGCCCGGACUGAGGUCCGCGCAUCUGCUAGGAUGCUGGCGUAAUGGCUGU